Non-coding RNA from Caenorhabditis elegans, 150 nucleotides. Lineage: Eukaryota; Metazoa; Nematoda; Chromadorea; Rhabditida; Rhabditidae. The record is from Ensembl.
CAACAGGGGAGUGCGGCAAUGAUUUAUUCCGGCAAAUGGGCAAAUUGACGGAGUUGAAAUUUCCAAUUUUUGCCGAUUUGCCGAAUAUGCCGGAAAAACGGCAAAUGCGGAAAAUUUUAGACAAAUUAGGGUUCUGCACUGUUUUUUUUG